UACAGAGGUCUCAAGCGUUGUUCGGAUUCAUUGGGCGUAAAGGGUGCGUAGGCUGUAAGGUAAGUUGGAUGUGAAAUCCCGGGGCUCAACCCCGGAACUGCAUUCAAUACUGCCCUACUAGAGUACUGGAGAGGAGAUUGGAAUUCACGGUGUAGCAGUGAAAUGCGUAGAUAUCGUGAGGAAGACCAGUGGCGAAGGCGAAUCUCUGGACAGUUACUGACGCUGAGGCACGAAGGCCAGGGGAGCAAACGGG
RNAcentral lists this ribosomal RNA (253 nucleotides) under uncultured bacterium. RNAcentral describes it as "partial 16S ribosomal RNA". It matches the Rfam family "Bacterial small subunit ribosomal RNA", at positions 524 to 776 of the family's 1533-position model. The record is from RNAcentral.